This is a long non-coding RNA of Rhipicephalus microplus (southern cattle tick), 374 nucleotides long. Lineage: Eukaryota; Metazoa; Arthropoda; Arachnida; Ixodida; Ixodidae. The record is from RefSeq and is a predicted model, not a curated record.
GUCGCGACAGCGCCUGAGAACGAGAGUUUCGUGCAUGGUGAUAGCCGGCGUGGUGACGUUGCGCAGCGAAGGAUUUGUUUUGGGCUUGGAUCUUCCACUCAAAUUUCGAGGUCACCAUGAUCACCGACAUUCAACUGGCUGUCUUUGCGAAUGCCCUUGGGGUAUCCUUGUUUCUCCUGGUGGUUCUGUACCACUACCUCUCUGUAAACAACCCAAAGAAGGCUGAUUAGGGGAUAAUGUGUGCUGGUGUGCGUUCAUCUGGGCUGUGCCUGCAUCUGCUUUGACUUGAUUUCUUCAUGGAGGGAAACCCACCAGACUUCAACUAACCAUACGAGCGUGUGUGCUGUAAAUAAAUGAUGUGCACUGUUUCCAGA